This 261-nucleotide ribosomal RNA is filed under the name uncultured archaeon. RNAcentral's name for it is "partial 16S ribosomal RNA". It matches the Rfam family "Archaeal small subunit ribosomal RNA", at positions 748 to 1009 of the family's 1478-position model. The record is from RNAcentral.
UAGCCGUAAACGAUACUCGCUAGGUGUCGGCCACGGUGCGACCGUUGUCGGUGCCGUAGGGAAGCCGUGAAGCGAGCCACCUGGGAAGUACGGCCGCAAGGCUGAAACUUAAAGGGAUUGGCGGGGGAGCACAACAACGGGUGGAGCUUGCGGUUUAAUUGGAUUCAACGCCGGAAAUCUUACCGGGACCGACAGCAACAUGAAGGCCAAGCUGAAGACUUUGCCGGAUUAGCUGAGAGGAGGUGCAUGGCGUAGUCGUGU